GACGAACCGUGCGAACGUUAUUCGGAAUCAUUGGGCUUAAAGGGCGCGUAGGCGGCGAUAUAAGUUGGAAGUGAAAUCCCAUCGGCUCAACCGUGGAAUAGCUCCCAGUACUGUAUCGCUCGAGGGGGAUAGGGGUCUGCGGAACUACCGGUGGAGCGGUGAAAUGUGUUGAUAUCGGUGGGAACGCCAGUGGCGAAAGCGGCAGACUUGACCCUUCCUGACGCUGAGUGCGCGAAAGCUAGGGGAGCAAACAGG
This 255-nucleotide ribosomal RNA is filed under the name uncultured bacterium. RNAcentral's name for it is "partial 16S ribosomal RNA". It matches the Rfam family "Bacterial small subunit ribosomal RNA", at positions 524 to 776 of the family's 1533-position model. The record is from RNAcentral.